GUGUCAAUUGUGGCCCACUCAACAGAACACCUGCAAAGAAGAAAGCUGUGAAAUGCGGUUCAGCUUUGUGAAGGCAGAACAAUGCUAUUCUUCAAUUCAUGGCUACAGGGGAGCAGAGCACAGGGUCAGAGCAUCAACAAGGGAUACACCCUCCAAAGCAAGUACCAAAGAACACAGUCACAAAGACAAGGAAUGAAAACAGCAAGAUCAACUUCCAACAGGGCCACGGCUAAGCCUUCUUUCCCUCCUGCACAGGCUUCACCAGGGCUGACUGGGGCAAGAGUAGCUCACUCUACAGAUCCCAGGCUGUACUGGAAGACCAGGGACUCAGAUGAGGAAACAGCCUCGCAGAGGUUAAGAAGCCUCCCACAGUCAUACAGUUCACAAGUGGGGCUGGGAAGCAGUUCUCACUCAUUCCAACGUCAGCGAUGAAAAUUCCACCUGGGAUCUUGGAAUACAAGGGGUGACUACUGUGUCCUGGACAGCACAGAAUGCAAACAAGUUACAUAUCAAGGAGAAAAGCAACUGGAUAAAAAAUUUCUGGGAUGUACACAGCAGAAUCUCUGAUCAGCUGAGUCUCCUUCAGGAAGGUGAUGCAGAUCUCAGCAAGUGUAAUUCAGAAGCCCAAUCAGAAAUCACUGCUCCAGAUCUGGAUGCAGCAAGGUGAACACCAGUCCUGAAGCAGCUCUUAGGUAUGGACUUGGUUUUUGCCACAUUCUAGAGAUGUGUGUGUACAUCUGAUGUGAGGGGCAAGUAUUCAUGGGAGCCAGAUUAUAGCAGCUCUUUAGAGAGUGUUGACCUCUCUGAGAUAUGAAACUGCAGUUUCAAACACUUAAAAUCUACUUACGAACAACAUCAGCAAAUAUACUUCCUCCUGGUUUUCUUCUGCUAUGCUUGUUUACGCUUUUAUACUGAGUCCCACAUAUAAUCCAUUCCUGCCCCUGUGGACUUGGUCCACAAUAGUAACUGACAGAAUGACCUGCUGAGACCCAUCGCUGCCAUUAUAGGUCCAUCAACUGAUCUGUUUCUCUCUCUUCUAAGCCCAAACCCGUUUACCUACACAACUUACUUUAGAGGCCAAAGGUUAUUUUUUCUUUUCCCUCUAAAUAUCCUGUCAAACUCAUAAGGAGAAGGGGUGGUUAUUACUACAUUUUCUAAAUGGAAAAAUGUAAACAACUUCAGUAACUAAAUACAACCAGAAGUGAAAUGUCUGAGGAGAAUUAUAUAGAUCUGCUAUUAUCACUUCACUAGCUAGUCCCAGAGAAGCAGCGAGGAAGAUUCAGAAACAAAGUCAGCUAUGAUAUAGUAAGGUUGUGAAAUUGAGACGGAGACCAUUAGGAGGACAGAGGACAGGUGAACUUCAGGUCCUUAACUCAGGGCCUGUUAUCCAUUAGAAGUAUGGUACAUGUUUUUGCCGAGCCCAUCACUAUCCAAAAUAAACUAAUCAACCUCAAAAAUGAGAAGUGUUGUUAAAGCCAGGAAGCCUUCACCAUAGUGUCUCUAAGAAUAAAUUAGAUGAGAAAAUAAAACUGUUGGGAAUCACCACAAAGGGACAGAAGACAAACUCCUGGGCUCUUAACCUGUCACUCAGUAAAAGCACAAUUUGUGCUUCUCUCAGGGGCAAUCAGGGCUGAAAAGCUGAUUUUGCUAAAAACAAAAAUAGUAACAAAAACAGUGACUCUUCACUUGAGCCUAUAGGUGCCCAAUGGGAAACUAAAAAUAGGAUAAAGCUUGGUAUGUCUGCCUUCAUUUUGUAUCUGUGUCCUUUAUUUCCUUAACCUUGGAGUAAGAUUCCUGCUUAGCUGUACCCAUAGGCAUGUUACUCCCUUAAGGAAUGUCUAUAAAAACUGGCAAUACAAGGUUUCUUAGUGCUAAAUGUAUCUAACCCAUUUCAUCUGCCUUGAAGACUAAGGACAGGGAGGUAAGUGUAACCAAGAUAUUCUCAAGAUUCACAGAGACAUCCAACUGUCAGCUUUUCUUUUCUUUUUCUUUUUGAUAUGGAGAACUGAACUCAUGACUUUGCACUUGCCAAGUAGAUGCUGUGCUGCUGAGCUGUGUUCCUGCCAUUAACUACCAGCUUUUACAAUGUCCUGAAGUGGCUCUUAGAAGUUUGAGUCACUGCCCCAAGCCUACAGUUGCCUUCAGUUCCAGCAGGGCGUCCGCAGGACUGAGACUGCUUCUCUUAACCCCCAGCAGAGGCAAUCACCUUAUUGGAACCAGAAUUGCUUCCCCAAACAAUGACUUCUCUGGAGCCACCUCAUAGUGUCAGAAUGGGGAUAAUUAUCAAAUAGACCCACUCCACCAGCCCCAUAAAAACUUGUCCCUGUCCUUUGUCAACAACCAGGCUGUCAGUGCCAUGGCCCCUUCAACUGUUUACUUAAAGCUUAAGUCCCUCCCCUAUUUUACCUUACUUUCUGAGUCUUGCUGUGUAGUUCAAGCUGCCCCUGAGCUCACUAUGUAGGCUAGACUGGCUUUGAACUCACAGCAAUCUUCCUGCCUCAGCCUCUUGAGUGCUGGGAUUACAGGUGUGAGCCACCAUGCCCUGCCUUUGUGUGUGUGUGUGUGUGUGUGUGUGUGUGUGUGUGUGUUUAAUUUUAGGAAAAAACCAAGAAAAAUCAAACAGAAUAAAAUCAAUCCUUGGUGUGUUUUUUAAAUUUCCGUAAUCACUGGAUCAAAGGACCCCACAUAUGGUAUCAAAAUGACUGACAAGAAGGAGGGGUAAGAAUGCCAUGGAAUGCCCAUGAACCUCCUGACCAGUUGGUAGAAGAGCAUGUUACUCAAUUCCCUGUCCCGGGGACAAAAUACUUGACACCUGCAAUAUACAGAAGGAGAUGUUUGUUUUGGGUCUCAUGAUUUCAGAGAAUUCAGUCUGUGGUUGGCUGGCUUAAGAUAAAAACAACAUGGUUUAAAAAAAAAAAAAAGAAAUGCCACGGUAAAAGUAGUUGGAGGAGGAAAGAUGAUUACAUUGUGAGAGUCAGGAAACAGAGGUCAAAGGAAGGAAAUGGGUUCAGAGGUCUAUCCAUAGAUUGCAUCUGCUAUGACCUGCCCUUUCCUAUCAGGUCACAUUUUAUGAAUUUGUCGGUGGAUUAAUCUAAUGAUUAUAUUGCCCCCGUAACCUAAUCACCUCCCAACAGUGCCACCUCUGAACACAUACGACAUUCUUGAAGAGAAGGAAGCUGUGAGAUAGCGGAACUCUCUUUUUCUAAGGCAAAGACCAUAAUAUGACACUGGAUGUGUGACUAGACUGCACAAAAAUGAACCAGACCCUUGGAAACCAGGUCUCAGGUCAGCUACGUGAGUCUUUGCACGGGGUUCGGUCGCACUGACUCUAUUUAGUCAUCCUGUUUUUGUUUCUUUUCUCUCCAAAUCCUCAUUGCACCUUCACCUGUCUCCUGUUUCCUUUCUUUUUCCUUGCCUUUCUUCUUUACUUUAUUUCUUCAUUUCUUUGGUAAGUAGAGUACAAGAAUGAAAAUUCUUCUGUCGUCUUAGGCUCACCAUUUGGAAUUAUUUUCAUUGGAUAGAAGAACAUAAAUACUGACAUAGAAAGUCUAGUGGCUAGUUGGUAAAGCCUUGAGAAUUAUCCUGAAAGUCAGUUAAACGCAAAUCUCAAUUGAGAAUUGUUUUCUUGAUAUUUUCCAUUUCUCCUAAAGUUGUGGAUGAAUUUCAGAUUAGCUUAAAUUUCUGGUUAUUUGAUCUCUGUUCAAAACUUUUUUUUCACUACUCUCCUCUGUCCUUUUCCAGAUGCUGAAAAUUUUUUUCUGCAUUAAGAUACUAGCAAAAGGGCUACGGACUUAGCUUAGUGGUUUAAGCGCCUGCCUGGCAAAUGCGAGAUUGUGAGUUCAAUUCCUGGUUUAAAAAAAAAUAGAAAAAGAUACUAGCAAGAAACUGGGGAUGGUGGCUGAAGCCUGAAAUCCUUAAGCUUUGGGAGGUUGAGGCUGCAGAAUAGCAAGUUUGAGUCCCAAUGCAGACAACCUAGCAAGAUCUUGUCUUACAAUAAAAAAUAAAGGGUUCUAUGGAUGUAGUGAAGUGUGAAAGCCCUGGGUUCAAUCUUCAGUAUGAAAAAAAGAUAAAAAAGAUAUUAGUAAGAAUAUAAUUUCUUCUAGUUUUAUAAACUUUACACAUAUCUGGCUGCAAGAUCAUCUUUAUAUGCAUAAUUAUAUCUGAAAACAUUUUAUCUUGAUUAAUUAAGGUAUUUUUGCUUUUUACUAACAGCAGGGAAGAGUUUCUGGAAAGGCCUCCAGAGCCACUUAGGCUCUUUGAAAGGUUUGCAGUCCACAAGUCCAGAUUAGCACAUGUCUGCUACCACUUCAGUUUCUAUCUGGUAGAGCAGAAGUGUGGUAGUUACAUAUUUCCAGUCACUUCUGUCACGAUUUAAUGCUACCAACAUAAUUAACUGCCUUAACUUAAAAAAAUGCUUUUAUAUUUGAAAUGUUACAGAUUUUUAUUGUAGCAGAUUAUGAAAUACAGAGCAAUAUAAAGGAGAAAACAUGUAUCACCCAUAAUUAUACUGUUGGAUAAUAGCAGAAUCAAUAUUUUGGUAAAUGUCCCUCAGGGUUUUUUCCUACUCAUACAGUUUUUAAAUGUAUAAGUAAAAUUUUAUAUGAUGAUAAGGGUUUAAUUUUGGGGUAACUAUUUUUUGCUGAAAUACAUGUAUCACACAUAUUUCCCCCAUGGAGUUAAAUGUUCAUUAUACAACAUAAUAUUAAAUGGAGUUCACCAGCCAAGCCAACUUGUCCGAGGUUGACCACUCAGUUGCUGCUACUUCCAUGUGUUCUGGGUUCAUGGUUCUUGACCACAUGAUAAGAGCCCUGAGUGCCUCAAGUUUGAGGACAGGUUUUUAAUAAGUAAACCUUUAUAGCACAUUAUUAAAAGAGAGUGCACAAGAUUUUGUUGUGUAAAUAUAUAAUUUCUUUCAGAUAUACCUUCUUCCAACUUCGAUUAAAUUGUCAUUUUUUUUCUCACUGUCUUGGGUAAUGCAGACCAAAGCAGCCUUGUACACAAAGUUUGUGAGAAUCUCUAAUUACUUCCUCAGGACAAAUUCCCAGAAGUGGCAAGGUGGCUAGUAGAGUUCAUUUAUUUUCUUGGUGAUACUGGGAAUUAAACUCAGGACCUCAUGCUUGCCAGGCAGGCACUGCGCCAGUGAGCUAAAUUCUUGGCCCCUUUAUUGGAGUUUAACAUUUUUAAGUCUUUGCAGAAAUUCUGCCAAACUGGCCUUUGGAAAGUAGGUACUACUUUAUUCUAAAGAGCAACUGUUAAUCUGUAUUUCUAUAUGAUGAGUAAUUGUUCUUCAAAAUGGAAUUAUACUAACUUGAAAAAUAGCAAUCUCACUUUCAUUGAAAUUUCUUGGAAUACUAUUUCAUGUCCUUAAUUGGCCAUUUGCAUGCAGGCCUAGGGAAUAGUUCACUAAUGCUAUCUCUUCAAUUUCUGACCGCGAUCAUUAACUUUUACUUCUUGGUUUGCAGAUGAGCUAAUUGAUAAUUUUUACUCAGACCAUUUCCAAAGAUGAAUAAUAUUACAACAAUGUUUGUUUUUCUAUGUUUUCCGUGUUUUGUCACUUUCUGUAAGGUGAUGGAAAAUGAAUACAUGUUAAAUACUGGUCAGUUUAUUCAACUUCCAAAUUUAUAAAUAAUCUUUCUCCUUAAUC
Molecule: long non-coding RNA, 5644 nt
Organism: Cavia porcellus (domestic guinea pig)
Lineage: Eukaryota; Metazoa; Chordata; Mammalia; Rodentia; Caviidae
Exons: 4
Source: RefSeq, a predicted model, not a curated record